GUUAUUUAAACAUUUUAAAUUGGAUGAAGAAAAAAAAUGACGCAAAUAAAACGUAGGACAUUUUAAUUAAAGAGACUAAUAUAGAGAUUUAUCUACUUAGCUGUGAUUAAAUCAUCUCCAUUUAACGCUCUACCUCUUCUAUUAAUUAUGCUUCGUUAAACUAUGAUUACAGAGGAUGGGUUUUUGGAUAAAAUGACAUUCUGACAAAUAUAGAUAGACAGAUAUAUAUAGAUAUAGAUAGACAAAUAUAUAGAUUCUUACGACAGUAGUUAUGAAUGAACAGUAGUUAUUGUAUCAAUUCCUUUCUUUAGAAGCUUCAUUCAAUUCGCCAGACAAGAAAAGACAAUUCGCCAGAAUAUGGAUUCAGUGCAGUUAUAGCUAUAGGAUUUCAAUCUAGUUGACAGACUUGCUUUACGUAGAGAAUAUCUGUCUCUUGUUCUACCUUAUCACGAUUCUCUUCUCAUCUUAUACGCUUUGUCGAGCAAAGUAAUAUUGGCAUAUAUCUCGGCUCUGGUUACAAUCAUUAGUUUCCGCCUAAACGGUUAGAAUCACAUAGCUCGCGUUCUAUUCUCGUUUAUUCAACAUUCAGGCUGUAUGGUCAUGCGACGAGUUUCAUGUUAAUUCCGACCGAUUACAAUACCUUUCUCUCGUUUACAAGGAACGACGAGACUGACAGUUGCGUGAUUUCCAAUGCAAAAGCCGCGAUAUCUGCACGAUAACCUAACCUCAACCGAUUUUGUUGUACUAUUCUUAUGUGGACUUCGUUUGUACCACUUUCGUAACAAAAAUAGAAUACGUAGAAACAGCAUUCCGUUAUGCGAUAUUGUCGAUUCCUAACAUCCGAAAAAUAAGAGAUAAUUUUUUCCCUACAGUUGUACAUUUGUGUGAAAAAUUAUGAACGUAAAAUUGUUUGGUGCAUGCACAGUCCCCCCCCUCCCCCCUCCGCUCCCCUGCAUUUGCGUGGACAUUCUAGAAAGAUUCACUUUUCCACGGUGAAACUGUUUCGUGUUAAGUAUUACAUCUGACGUAUAAGCACACGUAUGUACGAGCCUUGGUUUUAAAUGUCUUAUAGUAGACACCGAAAAGAUUAUUCAGUUGGAUAUCUGACUCAACAUUAAUAUUUUACUAGGAGUAACAUGUUAAGAACACGUUGGUGGAUGGCAUGGGAGAUGAUGAAUGAAGACAUACUGAUACAUAAAAUAGUAGUCAGAACGUAUUUUGGAGCUUGAGGACAGCAACAGCUGGUGAUACUGUCAUACACCUCCAUUUAUAAACUUUCGAAAAUCGAUGUGACCUUCAAACUUUAGAGUAUUCUGUUUCACAGCACAAAAUGUUUCCGAAACGUACGUUUAUUGUUACAAUAAACUUGACUAAUGGCUUUGAAAUACUAUCCUUGAAAAAACAAUGGGGAAAUUGGAGCAAAAAAAAGAAGGAAACAAACAAAGACCUUGUUGGUUCGUAACAAUAAAAUAUGCUACAGGAAAAACUUUUUCCAACGGAUUGAGAUGAGACAAGCUUUAAAAGCUAUUACGCGAAUCGAGCGUUUGUCUACAAGAGCGCAUUUUCGGUGGAUAUAUAGAUAUACAUGUAUAUGUGACGAAAUAUACUAAAGCAAUAUUGACCCUUUGUCGCUGAAAGUAUCAAACUACAAAACUUCCUUUCAAAUUUUCAGAAUAAGGAAAUCAGGAUCAUGAUAAAUAUUUGGAACAUAAUUAAAAAUAAUAUAUCUUCUCUAUAAGAUAAUGAAUACAUUGGUUCAUUUAAUUUGUAUGGAUAUUCAAAAGCUUUUGUGAAAUAAAACGUCAAGAUUAUAGAGUAUAAAAUUCAUAGCUAUGAAAUAACUAAAACUCUGAUGUAUUAUUAAAAAUAUACGUUAGGUUGUAUGUAGUGAUA
This is a long non-coding RNA of Bombus impatiens (common eastern bumble bee), 1893 nucleotides long. RefSeq lists it as uncharacterized. NCBI's taxonomy places the organism in Eukaryota, Metazoa, Arthropoda, Insecta, Hymenoptera, Apidae. The record is from RefSeq and is a predicted model, not a curated record. The transcript has 2 exons.